Molecule: ribosomal RNA, 459 nt
Filed under: uncultured bacterium
Lineage: Bacteria
Description: partial 16S ribosomal RNA
Rfam family: Bacterial small subunit ribosomal RNA
Source: RNAcentral
CCUACGGGGUGCAACAGUGAGGAAUAUUGGUCAAUGGACGAGAGUCUGAACCAGCCAAGUAGCGUGAAGGAUGACUGCCCUAUGGGUUGUAAACUUCUUUUAUCAAGGAAUCAAACGAGGCACGUGUGCCUUUUUGCAUGUACUUUAUGAAUAAGGAUCGGCUAACUCCGUGCCAGCAGCCGCGGUAAUACUGAGGAUCCGAGCGUUAUCCGGAUUUAUUGGGUUUAAAGGGUGCGCAGGCGGAUUUUUAAGUCAGCGGUCAAAUCGUGGGGCGCAACCCCAUCCAGGCGGUGAAACUGGGGAUCUAGAGUGUGCGAGAGGUAUGCGGAAUGCGUGGUGUAGCGGUGAAAUGCAUAGAGAUCACGCAGAACCCCGAUUGCGAAGGCAGCAGACCGGUGCACAACUGACGCUCAGGCACGAAAGCGUGGGUAUCGAACAGGAUUAGAUACCCGGGUAGUC